AGAGUUUGAUCCUGGCUCAGGAUGAACGCUGGCGGCGUGCUUAACACAUGCAAGUCGAGCGAAGCGGUUUUGGAAGUCUUCGGACGGAAAAGAGCGACUGAGCGGCGGACGGGUGAGUAACGCGUGGGUAACCUGCCUCGUACAGGGGGAUAACAGUUAGAAAUGACUGCUAAUACCGCAUAAGGCCACAGCACCGCAUGGUGCAGGGGUAAAAACUCCGCGG
RNAcentral lists this ribosomal RNA (223 nucleotides) under uncultured bacterium. RNAcentral's name for it is "partial 16S ribosomal RNA". It matches the Rfam family "Bacterial small subunit ribosomal RNA", at positions 8 to 214 of the family's 1533-position model. The record is from RNAcentral.